CUGGGCUCUAGGGCGUUGGUGGCAGCGCUGAGGGGUCCCCACUGCCCCGUCAUGGCGUCUGCUCUCACUGUCCUCCUCCUCGGCUGCUGGCUGGCCGGGCACAGCGGGGUGUGGGGAGGAAUCGCUCCCGGCGGUCCUCCCCCUGGGAACCGGCACCGCCGUGGCCAGCCAGGGCCCUCAGCUUCUCCAAGGGGGGAUCCUCCUGCAGCUCCGUCUGGAAUUC
Molecule: long non-coding RNA, 223 nt
Organism: Malaclemys terrapin pileata
Lineage: Eukaryota; Metazoa; Chordata; Testudines; Emydidae
Exons: 3
Source: RefSeq, a predicted model, not a curated record